Molecule: ribosomal RNA, 324 nt
Filed under: uncultured eukaryote
Lineage: Eukaryota
Description: partial 18S ribosomal RNA
Rfam family: Eukaryotic small subunit ribosomal RNA
Source: RNAcentral
CCCUUAGAUGUCCUGGGCUGCACGCGCACUACACUGACGAACUCAACGAGCUUAUCACCUUGGCAGAGAUGUCUGGGUAAUCUUUUGAAAGUUCGUCGUGCUGGGGAUAGAUGAUUGUAAUUAUUCGUCUUGAACGAGGAAUUCCUAGUAAGUGUGAGUCAUCAGCUCGCGCUGAUUACGUCCCUGCCCUUUGUACACACCGCCCGUCGCUCCUACCGAUUGAAUGUUCCGGUGAGCUCUUCGGACUGCGCGGUCUGCAGUUUCUGCGUUCCGUGCGGAAAGUUGCGCAAACCUUAACAUUUAGAGGAAGGAGAAGUCGUAACA